UCUUAAACGAGGUGACGUAUCUGACAAUGUUUUCAUGCUUUGUGUUACAGAGGUUUCUGAGAAUACUCUCCUCGCGGGAAAGAUGUUCCAAUUCUUUCGUAUUUGCCUUGGAAUACAUUGUCCAAAAUAUAUAAGAAGAAAUGAUAACUCGGAACUUAUUAAGAAAGUCCAACAGAAGAACAUUCAUGCCAUCGAUGUCAAGCCAGUCAGAUUAAAUGAUGAAUACGAUCUAUCUCAAAGUGAAGAAUAGUCGGGUUGCGUUACUGAAAACGACAUAUCCAUACGCUCUACAUUUGAUUUUGUUAAAUUCAGCAAUAUUCUCCCCC
Magallana angulata is the source of this 326-nucleotide long non-coding RNA. RefSeq lists it as uncharacterized. NCBI's taxonomy places the organism in Eukaryota, Metazoa, Mollusca, Bivalvia, Ostreida, Ostreidae. The transcript is spliced from 3 exons. The record is from RefSeq and is a predicted model, not a curated record.